Molecule: ribosomal RNA, 367 nt
Filed under: uncultured Streptococcus sp.
Lineage: Bacteria; Bacillati; Bacillota; Bacilli; Lactobacillales; Streptococcaceae
Description: bacterial SSU rRNA
Rfam family: Bacterial small subunit ribosomal RNA
Source: RNAcentral
GUUACUUCGGUACAUCGGUGACAGGUGGUGCAUGGUUGUCGUCAGCUCGUGUCGUGAGAUGUUGGGUUAAGUCCCGCAACGAGCGCAACCCCUAUUGUUAGUUGCCAUCAUUCAGUUGGGCACUCUAGCGAGACUGCCGGUAAUAAACCGGAGGAAGGUGGGGAUGACGUCAAAUCAUCAUGCCCCUUAUGACCUAGGCUACACACGUGCUACAAUGGUUGGUACAACGAGUUGCGAGUCGGUGACGGCGAGCUAAUCUCUUAAAGCCAAUCUCAGUUCGGAUUGUAGGCUGCAACUCGCCUACAUGAAGUCGGAAUCGCUAGUAAUCGCGGAUCAGCACGCCGCGGUGAAUACGUUCCCGGGCCUU